Molecule: long non-coding RNA, 1495 nt
Filed under: Meleagris gallopavo (turkey)
Lineage: Eukaryota; Metazoa; Chordata; Aves; Galliformes; Phasianidae
Description: lncRNA (ENSMGAG00000017745.1)
Source: RNAcentral
AUGGCAUGUCUGCACCCAGAUGUUGGCUGCUGGUCCAGAUAUCUGCACAGUGAUCCCAUCAUAGAGCAUCAGCUGUGCUGCUGUGAUAGUUUAUUAGGGGGAAAAAAAAGGGGGGGCAAAAUUUUACUGAAGAAAGGGCAAAAUAUCACAUGGCAGGGAGAAGUGGAGAAAAACUCACAGGACAGCAAACAAGCCCAAUCCCACAGGCCUUUAGAUACUCAUCCAACUUCCCUGUCCCAGAUGACUAGGGUUUCCACAGCCUCUGACCACCUCUGCAAAGGACAUGAAGGGAAGAUGGAUGCGAAGUCAGCUGGUUAUCCACACAACAAGAGUAUUUACAGAUAUGCACACAGUAAUGGAAGGAGAGUUUGAAAGACCAGGGCAGCGGCAGAAACAGCCUAAGGCUGAGGAGAAGUCUCACUUUCCAGGCUCCAGUCCCCAUUGAGAUAAUUCCACCUAACUCCAACCAGACUUUUUGAAGAAGCAAUAUGCCUGUACAUCAAGAAGGGGAGAAUAAGCAUGUCUGAAUAACUCUUAUAUUCUGCUAUUCCUUCCUACAAUGCUAGCAUCUAGGCUCAGAAGAAAAAUAAACCACACUUGAAGAAAAAAAAAAAAAACAAAACAUUUUGCAGCCUUACCACAGACCUGUUUGUUCUUAGGUUAACCAACAGCUAUCCAGUCUCCUUGCCUGGCUUUAAAGACAGCAGCUGCUAAGACUUGUUCUCCAGCCUGCUCAAGCUGCAGAAGUUUUGUUAAAGAGACUCCCCUGAAAGAUGCAAAUUUCAGUUGGAAGUUACUUCACUUUAAUCCUGCAUAUUAACCAUUUAAAAAUAUACCUGUUACUUAAGCUUUAAACAAUGCAUCAAAAUAAAAAAGCCAAAGUUUAUGUUUUAUUAAGGCUUUUAGAAAAGGACAGUAUAUUUGUUCUGUUCAUCCCUGCAUAUGCUGAAAUAGGCAAAUUUCUCAAGUCCUUGGCCAUUUCCCAAUUGCACGUUCAGAUUCCACCUCACUACUUGGAUGUGUUUCUAGCAGAAAAUCCUUCCUAUUUGAAAGCCUCGCAUGUUUAAAGGAGUGAGGAUCCCAUCAGCACUCAUUUCUGCUCACUCCCUUCUUGCUGUAGGGGUAACAGAUCUUUCCAGUUCUUGUAGUUCCAUAAUUAUGAAUAUAAAAAGUACGAUUUGCUCAUAUCUGUACCAUCUCAUCUUGGAAGGUUUAAAAAAAAAAAAAAAUCAUGCUAUUGCAUGCAACAGACUAACCAAAAGGACAUGCAUCAGCACAGUAGGCAACAUGCAACUCUGUACAUUUCUGUGGAAGAAGCUGCACAAAGCCUGCUGGCAUUAAACAUCCAAAAGGCAAGAACAUCCAGGCAUGCAAUAUGCAGUGAAAGCCUGGCUCCUGGCAGAUCCUCACUUGCAGGAAAAUCACGUACAUAUUUUAAAUACUUAGUACUGCUUUCCCUCAUGUCAGCAGCUCUAGAGAAUAGGUCCAGUCCAGC